GAGUUUGAUCUUGGCUCAGAUUGAACGCUGGCGGCAUGCCUUACACAUGCAAGUCGAACGGCAGCACGGGAGCUUGCUCCUGGUGGCGAGUGGCGAACGGGUGAGUAAUGCAUCGGAACGUAUCCUGGAGUGGGGGAUAACGUAGCGAAAGUUACGCUAAUACCGCAUAUUCUGUGAGCAGGAAAGCGGGGGACCUUCGGGCCUCGCGCUCUUGGAGCGGCCGAUGUCGGAUUAGCUAGUUGGUGAGGUAAAGGCUCACCAAGGCGACGAUCCGUAGCAGGUCUGAGAGGAUGAUCUGCCACACUGGAACUGAGACACGGUCCAGACUCCUACGGGAGGCAGCAGUGGGGAAUUUUGGACAAUGGGGGCAACCCUGAUCCAGCCAUGCCGCGUGAGUGAAGAAGGCCUUC
Molecule: ribosomal RNA, 410 nt
Filed under: bacterium enrichment culture clone ALO1_GLFRUDD03F5KO4
Lineage: Bacteria
Also listed under: 1 other name
Description: bacterial SSU rRNA
Rfam family: Bacterial small subunit ribosomal RNA
Source: RNAcentral